RNAcentral lists this ribosomal RNA (253 nucleotides) under uncultured bacterium. RNAcentral describes it as "partial 16S ribosomal RNA". It matches the Rfam family "Bacterial small subunit ribosomal RNA", at positions 524 to 776 of the family's 1533-position model. The record is from RNAcentral.
UACAGAGGGUGCGAGCGUUGUCCGGAAUCACUGGGCGUAAAGGGCGCGUAGGCGGCCUGGUAAGCAGGGGGUGAAAUUCUGCGGCUCAACCGCAGAGCUGCCUUCUGAACUGCCAGGCUGGAGCACGGUAGAGGCAGAUGGAAUUCCCGGUGUAGCGGUGGAAUGCGUAGAGAUCGGGAAGAACACCAGUGGCGAAGGCGGUCUGCUGGGCCGUUGCUGACGCUGAGGCGCGACAGCGUGGGGAGCAAACAGG